CCCCCGAUGGUCUAGCGGUUAAGGAUUCAGCAUUGUCACUGCUGUGGCUUGGGUUCAAUCCCUGGCUUGGGAA
This 73-nucleotide transfer RNA is filed under the name Sus scrofa (pig). It matches the Rfam family "tRNA". Rfam says of the family: Transfer RNA (tRNA) molecules are approximately 80 nucleotides in length. Lineage: Eukaryota; Metazoa; Chordata; Mammalia; Artiodactyla; Suidae. The record is from Rfam by way of RNAcentral.